GACGAACGCUGGCGGCGUGCUUAACACAUGCAAGUCGAACGGAAAGGCCCAGCUUGCUGGGUGCUCGAGUGGCGAACGGGUGAGUAACACGUGGGUGAUCUGCCUCUAACUUCGGGAUAAGCUUGGGAAACUGGGUCUAAUACCGGAUAGGACAAUCGUUUAGUGUCGGUUGUGGAAAGUUUUUUCGGUUAGGGAUGAGCCCGCGGCCUAUCAGCUUGUUGGUGGGGUAAUGGCCUACCAAGGCGUCGACGGGUAGCCGGCCUGAGAGGGUGGACGGCCACAUUGGGACUGAGAUACGGCCCAGACUCCUACGGGAGGCAGCAGUGGGGAAUAUUGCACAAUGGGCGCAAGCCUGAUGCAGCGACGCCGCGUGGGGGAUGACGGCCUUCGGGUUGUAAACCUCUUUCGACAGGGACGAAGCGUUGGUGACGGUACCUGUAGAAGAAGCACCGGCUAACUACGUG
Molecule: ribosomal RNA, 464 nt
Filed under: uncultured bacterium
Lineage: Bacteria
Description: partial 16S ribosomal RNA
Rfam family: Bacterial small subunit ribosomal RNA
Source: RNAcentral